RNAcentral lists this long non-coding RNA (1789 nucleotides) under Homo sapiens (human). Its description in RNAcentral is "HSALNT0332961". Lineage: Eukaryota; Metazoa; Chordata; Mammalia; Primates; Hominidae. The record is from RNAcentral.
GGGAGAGAGAGAGAAAAAGAAAAGGAAGGAAGGAAGAAAGAAAGAGAGAAACUAGAAAACAAAGCAAGUGCUAAUAAACGGGUAUAGGCCAGUUUAUCUUGAUGUGCAUGAAGUCACCUGGCAAUUGGAUGAAAUGCAGAAGAGGCUUGGGAUUCUGCAUCUUUAACAAGCCCCCAAGUGAUGUUGAUAUUGCUAACCCUGAACUGCACUUUGAAUAAAGAGAAUCUUGACCACAGAGUACCAAGGAAAGCAUAAAGUAAGAAUAUAAUGGAUAUAAAGUGGUCUGGGUUCCUAAAACCUGUGGAGAAGAUGAGCUUGAGCCACGUGAUUGUGCAUAUGAUUGGCUGAGGGAAUGAAAAAGCAGAAGAAACAGCAUAAAUAACAAUUGCAUUGGAAGGAAAGGAGCAAAAAAUAAGUUGAGGGGUGAAGAAGAUUUUGUCUGACUUCAAUUAAAAAUAUUUAGGGAAACUAUAAAAAAUGGGAUUGAAGAUUUACUGGUGGGGUAAGACAACCUUAGAGGUUACCCAAUUUAAUUUGGUGUAGUUGAAACUGAGCAGCAGUACAAUCUCAUUAGAUAAUGGCAGAGCUCAGAAUGGAAGCCGAACCUGAGAAAUUUAGAUGACAAAUACCUUACACAUAGAGUCUUUGAUAUAAGAAAAGCCACUUGUCAUUGUUGUGCAAGGUGAAAAUAUGAGGGAAGAACGAAAACAAGCGAAGAGACCCAUAGGAAAUAAUAUUAAUAGUCCAAGCAUGGAGUUUUGGGGAAGGUUUGGUCUAGGGAAGAUGAGAAAAUAUCAGGUGAAGAGGUGAAUCAGAAAAAUUUUGUGUUUGCAUGAAUUGUAAUGGCUGCCACCAGCUGAUUAAAUCAUCCAUUUAUGUAAGAAAAGGAAAAAACUUCCCUCCAUCCCUCCCAUGGUCCAAUGAAGCAUUUUUCAACCCUGACCUCACAUCGGCAUUACUAUUUUUUUUCAGUGGGAAUUCCUGAGCUCCACCCCACAGAAAUUUAAUCAGAAUCUCUGGGAGUGGAGCCCUAGAAUCAGUAUUUUUAAAGCCUCCCUAGGUGAUUAUAAUGGGCAGUCAGUGUUGAGAAUCACUAAUCUAAUAUACAGUCACCAGCUCAUUUUGUAGGCUUCAUUUCUGCCCCUGAACAUUACCCCCAGUGUUAACUGUUAUACUAGCACUAGAUCAUUUUUAAUACUGGGUGUGUUUGGUGGUGGAUUUUGAUGGUUUAUAGCACAUUCUCUAAGCUCAAUGUCUUCCAUCCCUCAUUAACUGUCAUGGUUUAGUUGUGAACAUACCCUGAUAUCUCUCAUUGGCGAGAGAAGGAACAGUGAUUUGGCACGUGACUGGAUGGAAAUGAUAAACCUGGUUUAUGAACCUAUAUGGUACCAUAGUGUGGCAGUGCAGUUAUUUUACUUGAUUUUAGCUUUGCUUUAAUAAUCUACUUUAACAGCCUCUUUAGGUUUAGAACUGAUGAAUGAGCACUUAAAAUAGCGACUUGGACCAUUGGAACUUUUAUUUUGCGUCUUCUCUAAAAAAAUAAUCGUUACUUGCUGGAAAAAAAUCUGAAGGUACUUUUUCAGAUAGGAGGAUGCCAAGAGAAGAAAAGCAUUUUCUCUGUCUUCAAAGAGGAAAAGAUGAGCAUAGUGAAUUUCGGGUGUUGUAUUUAUUCAGCUUGGACGUUUAAAAGAUACUUGGCUUUCCCAUACUAUCUUGACAUGCAUUUUGCUGUUACUUCUACCUGGGAUGCUGGCACUGCCCACCACACACUGUUGAAGACUCAGUUCAG